Lemur catta (Ring-tailed lemur) is the source of this 520-nucleotide long non-coding RNA. RefSeq lists it as uncharacterized. The record is from RefSeq and is a predicted model, not a curated record. The transcript is spliced from 3 exons. Lineage: Eukaryota; Metazoa; Chordata; Mammalia; Primates; Lemuridae.
UGUGGCCAGAGCUGUAGAAUGAAGAUAUACAAACAGUGGUCUCUGGUCCCUGCUCCAGAGCACUAAACACAGGAUGAAGAAUGGCACCCGGUGUCACCGUGUCACGCAGGGCAGAGACCAGCCUUGGAGCAACCCGUGGUGGGGGCCAGAGCAGCGCCACGGCAGGGGGGAAGAGCCAAUCUCACUUCCGAUCCACCUCUGCCCCACGUGGUGAUGGAAAUGAGACAGAACUUGGGACAGGGCUGUCCCAGGGUCCCCACGAGUGGAAUGUUCCAUGUCCCCUAGAAAGAGGAGGGGAACGGAAGAUGGGGGGAUAGAUACCUCCAGGUCCAGUGUCCAAGGUCACUUCUGAAAUGUCCACAAUUAUACCUCCAGCCCCUCAGGAGAUGGAAAAUCACAGACCAACGGGGGCCCUCGGGCCAGGCCCCCCACCAGGAUUCAUUGUGUGAACAGACUCCUCCGUGGUCAGGUGAUCCUCGGCCAGCAGAGCCCAGUUCCAGCAAGAAUCCCGCCGGGCCAG